AUGUAAAUGAAUGGGAGAUUUUCCAGUAGUUCCAAAAUCGACCAAUAGAUGGCAUUCGGCCUGUCGUUUUUAGUAGUGAGCUACAUUCUUCUGAGGAAACGGAGAUGACAAAUGUCACAGACCUACUACAAAACAAAUGUUAUGUCAUUCGGUUUCUCUUGUAGCUACGCGAAUGUCUCCGGUGCUGUGUUUUGUGAUAAUUUCGACGACUCUGGCUAUUCUUUUGGACUUUUGUGACUUCUAUACCCGACCGACCUUUGCACUCCCCCUGGACCCUUGCUUGCCAUUACGAUUUACCCCUGCCUGUACUCCGGACCUUGAAACAAUCAUGGGAAAAGACUAUGGAUCAUGGUCAACUGUACGCCUGAAGGACGAGCUGCGAAAACGCAAAGCAAAACUUUCUGGAAAGAAAGCAGUGCUUGUCCAGAGACUUGAAGAUUACGAUAAGCUGUUUGGACCAGUUGUAACCGACUCGGAAGUCGUAUUCAAAAUAAAAGUGCCGGAACCUGAAAGUUUCCGAGAUAUUACGAGUAACUCGGCUAUACCUGAUUUGGAUAUGGCUGAUAUAGAAUUGUUUUCCCAGCUCUCAGGGAGGGAAAACUUAAAGACGUCUCUGAAUAUGUAUGACGAAUAUUUUUUAAUGUCAUGCAGAGUAGCUUUUUUUAAUGCUGACUAUUAUAUUACUGGCAUGGUUGCAUCAGAGAUGAGGAAACAUAUUGUAUACAAUGUAACAGUAAAAGAAAAAAGUCAUUUGAUUUUAGAAACCCAAUGUGAAUGUGCUGCAGGAAUGGGGCCAUAUCGACAAUGUAAACACAUUUUAGUGGUGUUAAUAGGCAUCACGGACAUGGUUCAACACCGAAGAAUUAAAAUGAAAACAAGUGGAAUAAACAUGGAUUUUUGUAUUGGCUGAAAGGACUCGAAUCCAUGCCGGCUAUAAAAAAAUAUGCAGUCCUGUUCAGUAUGAAGAUUUACUAGCGCCAUCUAUUGUCGGGUUUUGUCUAUGGACGUUGUCUAUGGUUGAAAACCUCCCAU
Molecule: non-coding RNA, 1032 nt
Organism: Plutella xylostella (diamondback moth)
Lineage: Eukaryota; Metazoa; Arthropoda; Insecta; Lepidoptera; Plutellidae
Source: RefSeq, a predicted model, not a curated record